This 254-nucleotide ribosomal RNA is filed under the name uncultured bacterium. RNAcentral describes it as "partial 16S ribosomal RNA". It matches the Rfam family "Bacterial small subunit ribosomal RNA", at positions 526 to 779 of the family's 1533-position model. The record is from RNAcentral.
CGUAGGUGGCAAGCGUUGUCCGGAUUUAUUGGGCGUAAAGCGAGCGCAGGCGGAAAGAUAAGUCUGAUGUGAAAGCCCUCGGCUCAACCGGGGAACUGCAUCGGAAACUGUCUUUCUUGAGUGCAGAAGAGGAGAGUGGAACUCCAUGUGUAGCGGUGGAAUGCGUAGAUAUAUGGAAGAACACCAGUGGCGAAAGCGGCUCUCUGGUCUGUAACUGACGCUGAGGCUCGAAAGCAUGGGUAGCGAACAGGAUU